Molecule: ribosomal RNA, 2924 nt
Filed under: Escherichia coli
Lineage: Bacteria; Pseudomonadati; Pseudomonadota; Gammaproteobacteria; Enterobacterales; Enterobacteriaceae
Description: 23S ribosomal RNA
Rfam family: Bacterial large subunit ribosomal RNA
Source: RNAcentral
GGGUUGUGAGGUUAAGCGACUAAGCGUACACGGUGGAUGCCCUGGCAGUCAGAGGCGAUGAAGGACGUGCUAAUCUGCGAUAAGCGUCGGUAAGGUGAUAUGAACCGUUAUAACCGGCGAUUUCCGAAUGGGGAAACCCAGUGUGUUUCGACACACUAUCAUUAACUGAAUCCAUAGGUUAAUGAGGCGAACCGGGGGAACUGAAACAUCUAAGUACCCCGAGGAAAAGAAAUCAACCGAGAUUCCCCCAGUAGCGGCGAGCGAACGGGGAGGAGCCCAGAGCCUGAAUCAGUGUGUGUGUUAGUGGAAGCGUCUGGAAAGGCGCGCGAUACAGGGUGACAGCCCCGUACACAAAAAUGCACAUAUUGUGAGCUCGAUGAGUAGGGCGGGACACGUGGUAUCCUGUCUGAAUAUGGGGGGACCAUCCUCCAAGGCUAAAUACUCCUGACUGACCGAUAGUGAACCAGUACCGUGAGGGAAAGGCGAAAAGAACCCCGGCGAGGGGAGUGAAAAAGAACCUGAAACCGUGUACGUACAAGCAGUGGGAGCCUCUUUAUGGGGUGACUGCGUACCUUUUGUAUAAUGGGUCAGCGACUUAUAUUCUGUAGCAAGGUUAACCGAAUAGGGGAGCCGAAGGGAAACCGAGUCUUAACUGGGCGUUAAGUUGCAGGGUAUAGACCCGAAACCCGGUGAUCUAGCCAUGGGCAGGUUGAAGGUUGGGUAACACUAACUGGAGGACCGAACCGACUAAUGUUGAAAAAUUAGCGGAUGACUUGUGGCUGGGGGUGAAAGGCCAAUCAAACCGGGAGAUAGCUGGUUCUCCCCGAAAGCUAUUUAGGUAGCGCCUCGUGAAUUCAUCUCCGGGGGUAGAGCACUGUUUCGGCAAGGGGGUCAUCCCGACUUACCAACCCGAUGCAAACUGCGAAUACCGGAGAAUGUUAUCACGGGAGACACACGGCGGGUGCUAACGUCCGUCGUGAAGAGGGAAACAACCCAGACCGCCAGCUAAGGUCCCAAAGUCAUGGUUAAGUGGGAAACGAUGUGGGAAGGCCCAGACAGCCAGGAUGUUGGCUUAGAAGCAGCCAUCAUUUAAAGAAAGCGUAAUAGCUCACUGGUCGAGUCGGCCUGCGCGGAAGAUGUAACGGGGCUAAACCAUGCACCGAAGCUGCGGCAGCGACGCUUAUGCGUUGUUGGGUAGGGGAGCGUUCUGUAAGCCUGCGAAGGUGUGCUGUGAGGCAUGCUGGAGGUAUCAGAAGUGCGAAUGCUGACAUAAGUAACGAUAAAGCGGGUGAAAAGCCCGCUCGCCGGAAGACCAAGGGUUCCUGUCCAACGUUAAUCGGGGCAGGGUGAGUCGACCCCUAAGGCGAGGCCGAAAGGCGUAGUCGAUGGGAAACAGGUUAAUAUUCCUGUACUUGGUGUUACUGCGAAGGGGGGACGGAGAAGGCUAUGUUGGCCGGGCGACGGUUGUCCCGGUUUAAGCGUGUAGGCUGGUUUUCCAGGCAAAUCCGGAAAAUCAAGGCUGAGGCGUGAUGACGAGGCACUACGGUGCUGAAGCAACAAAUGCCCUGCUUCCAGGAAAAGCCUCUAAGCAUCAGGUAACAUCAAAUCGUACCCCAAACCGACACAGGUGGUCAGGUAGAGAAUACCAAGGCGCUUGAGAGAACUCGGGUGAAGGAACUAGGCAAAAUGGUGCCGUAACUUCGGGAGAAGGCACGCUGAUAUGUAGGUGAAGCGACUUGCUCGUGGAGCUGAAAUCAGUCGAAGAUACCAGCUGGCUGCAACUGUUUAUUAAAAACACAGCACUGUGCAAACACGAAAGUGGACGUAUACGGUGUGACGCCUGCCCGGUGCCGGAAGGUUAAUUGAUGGGGUCAGCGCAAGCGAAGCUCUUGAUCGAAGCCCCGGUAAACGGCGGCCGUAACUAUAACGGUCCUAAGGUAGCGAAAUUCCUUGUCGGGUAAGUUCCGACCUGCACGAAUGGCGUAAUGAUGGCCAGGCUGUCUCCACCCGAGACUCAGUGAAAUUGAACUCGCUGUGAAGAUGCAGUGUACCCGCGGCAAGACGGAAAGACCCCGUGAACCUUUACUAUAGCUUGACACUGAACAUUGAGCCUUGAUGUGUAGGAUAGGUGGGAGGCUUGGAAGUGUGGACGCCAGUCUGCAUGGAGCCGACCUUGAAAUACCACCCUUUAAUGUUUGAUGUUCUAACGUGGACCCGUAAUCCGGGUUGCGGACAGUGUCUGGUGGGUAGUUUGACUGGGGCGGUCUCCUCCUAAAGAGUAACGGAGGAGCACGAAGGUUGGCUAAUCCUGGUCGGACAUCAGGAGGUUAGUGCAAUGGCAUAAGCCAGCUUGACUGCGAGCGUGACGGCGCGAGCAGGUGCGAAAGCAGGUCAUAGUGAUCCGGUGGUUCUGAAUGGAAGGGCCAUCGCUCAACGGAUAAAAGGUACUCCGGGGAUAACAGGCUGAUACCGCCCAAGAGUUCAUAUCGACGGCGGUGUUUGGCACCUCGAUGUCGGCUCAUCACAUCCUGGGGCUGAAGUAGGUCCCAAGGGUAUGGCUGUUCGCCAUUUAAAGUGGUACGCGAGCUGGGUUUAGAACGUCGUGAGACAGUUCGGUCCCUAUCUGCCGUGGGCGCUGGAGAACUGAGGGGGGCUGCUCCUAGUACGAGAGGACCGGAGUGGACGCAUCACUGGUGUUCGGGUUGUCAUGCCAAUGGCACUGCCCGGUAGCUAAAUGCGGAAGAGAUAAGUGCUGAAAGCAUCUAAGCACGAAACUUGCCCCGAGAUGAGUUCUCCCUGACCCUUUAAGGGUCCUGAAGGAACGUUGAAGACGACGACGUUGAUAGGCCGGGUGUGUAAGCGCAGCGAUGCGUUGAGCUAACCGGUACUAAUGAACCGUGAGGCUUAACCUUACAACGCCGAAG